Long non-coding RNA from Mesocricetus auratus (golden hamster), 364 nucleotides. RefSeq lists it as uncharacterized. NCBI's taxonomy places the organism in Eukaryota, Metazoa, Chordata, Mammalia, Rodentia, Cricetidae. The record is from RefSeq and is a predicted model, not a curated record. The transcript has 2 exons.
UUCAUCCAGCUGAGCUGUUUGGAAGAGGCUCAAACCAUCUGAGCUACCUGAGCUGCUGCAGACUGUAGAGUGUGCUCCAGGUUCCCAGCUUUUGUGAAUGGUCACCCAUUCAGGGGUGGACUUUGGUGAUACAGCUAUGUUUGAGUCAUUUCUCCUCCUAUAAAUAACUCAUCGCCUGCAGUCCUGCAGACUUGUCCUCUCAUCCAUGGAGCAAGAUCACUCAGGGCUUGGCCAUAGGUGGAAAGCUGGAAGAGAACAUGGCAUCACAGAAGAAAUUGCACUGACGUAGUGUCUUAAAUGUUGCCCCCAGACCUACCUGUAACUUUCCUUGGUAUUAUAAAUGAGUAAAGAAAGCUCUCAUGGC